This 224-nucleotide long non-coding RNA is filed under the name Elaeis guineensis (African oil palm). RNAcentral's name for it is "long non-coding RNA (EGUI_LNC052051)". Lineage: Eukaryota; Viridiplantae; Streptophyta; Magnoliopsida; Arecales; Arecaceae. The record is from RNAcentral.
CCCAUGCUCAGGUAUUGGGUUUGGAACCCUAGAAGUGAUAGAUUAGAUCUAUCACUAAUUGUUGUUCUUGUUCAAAUGCUUGUAACAUUAGAUUCAGAUUUUUAUGCAUAUAAAUUCAUGUUAUAAAUCUAUUUGUAGGAGUUUUAAUAUCAGAUCUUAUAUAUAUAUUUAUAAAUUAAAUAGUUUAAUCUAAUAUUCUUCUGCUAAAAAUUUUAAAAUGCAUG